Equus asinus (donkey) is the source of this 1700-nucleotide long non-coding RNA. Lineage: Eukaryota; Metazoa; Chordata; Mammalia; Perissodactyla; Equidae. The record is from Ensembl.
CUUAUUCACUUACCGAAGAGCUGUCUUUAUUCGUAUUCAUUUUACAACAGAAAAAUUGAGUUCCCACAGGGAAGUUGUGGGACAAUGUCAGCAUUUCUGUCCAACCAAGUCCCCACACCUUGGUCUCUCCCAUGAUGCUCCCCAAUCUCACUGCUCCCCUGAGGCCUGAGAGGGUGAGCACCUUCCCCUUCAUAGAUCCCCCACAACACACACACACACACACACACACACACACACACACACACACACAGGCACGACUGCAUCCUGUCUGCAAAAGGCCCCUUGGCUUUUCUCUGCCACAACCGCCUCCCCAUUUACCCCUCGUGGCGCUGGUACUGAAAGUUUCUGGACACACUCCCUGCACUCAGUUGUUCAGGGGGCACUUAUUGACAGCUGGCUGCACACAUCUGGGGAAGACCAACAAAAUCUCUUGGGUGGGGGAGGGUGAAAUGGGUGGAGGGAAUCAAAAGGUACAAACCAGCAGUUAUAAAAUAAAUAAGUGAGGGGAUGUAACAUUCAGCAUGGUGACUAUAGCUAAUAAUACUGUAUUGCAUACUUGAAAGUUGCUAGAGAGUAGAUCUUAAAAGUUCUAAUCACAAGAAAAACAAUUGUGUAACUAUGUAUGGCAAUGGAUGUUAACUAGACUUAUUAUGUUGUACACCUACAACUAAUAUAAUGUUAUAUGUCAAUUAUGCCUCAAUUUAAAAAUUAAUUUUUUUAAAAAAAAGAAAGUCUCUUGCCCUGAGUAGCCUCACAGUCUGGCUGCCUGACAGGGCACAUGGUAAGGUGGAGAAAAUCAUAAAGCAACAUGGACAAGAAGAGCAGAACCCUCAGAUACACCAGACAUAAGAUCCGGAGGAGACGGGGGAGAGGGGCUGCUCCUGGACAGAGCAGAUGGAGAAGUCCCCUCGGUUUCCAGCUUUGACUCUCCUGGGGAAACUGCAAAUUCCCUGGAACAAAGCUGAAAAUGGCUGGUGGGCACCUGACCUCUCUGAGGAGCCAUCUUCCUUGCCAAGAAGACACUGGCUCAGACAGCUGGAAGCAGAGCUUCAAAGCACCUUCCAGGUUAGCCAACUACUGCUUCUACCAGAUGACAACCCUCCCCCCCACAGAAAUGUGGACGACAAUGAUAUCUGGUGACAAGCCUACUGAGUGGGGAAUGAGGGAACAACAAGUCUUCCACUUCGAUUCCAUCUCUCAGUUUCCAUUUGGAGAAGAGACUCAGAGGAGGGAAACAGGAGACCAGUAGGCAGGCUGCAACCUCCCAGAGACCCAGGCAAGACCAUGGAGGGACGAGACAUUCUCAGUCCUGUCUGGGCCCCACUGCUUAGACUGGAUGUGGGGUAUUCGAAGUAGGGAUGAAAAGGGAUCAGCAGAUUUAUUUUGAAGGCAGAAGUGACUGGAUUGGCUGGUGAUUUGCGUGUGUGAGAGAAAGAAAAGAGUGAUUGCCAGGAAGAUUAGCCCUGAGCUAACGUCUGCCUCCAAUCCUCCUCUUUUUGCUGAGGAAGACUGGCCCUGAGCUAACAUCUGUGCUCAUCUUCCUCUACUUUAUAUGCGGGACGCCUGCCACAGCAUGGCUUGACAAGCGGUGCCAUGUCCGCACCUGGCAUCUGAACCAGUGAACCCCAGGCCGCCAAAGCGGAACAUGCAAACUUAACCAGUGCGCCACCAGGCCAGCCCCUUAAAUUUCUUUAAUAUUU